GAUGCCAGAGUCAAAAGGUCUUUCAUCCACAUGAGCUUGCUCAUAAGUGGAUGAAAGACCUUGGGACUCGCCCCGAUAUGAGCUUAAAAGCGGGAUGAUAAUCCCACGAUAUGCGAAUGGUGGGUAGGAUUGUGGGAGUGUGUAACACAGAACAAUCCGUUGGCAUC
Molecule: small RNA, 167 nt
Filed under: uncultured Lachnoclostridium sp.
Lineage: Bacteria; Bacillati; Bacillota; Clostridia; Lachnospirales; Lachnospiraceae
Description: Clostridiales-1 RNA
Rfam family: Clostridiales-1 RNA
Source: RNAcentral